Long non-coding RNA from Diachasmimorpha longicaudata, 788 nucleotides. RefSeq lists it as uncharacterized. The record is from RefSeq and is a predicted model, not a curated record. Lineage: Eukaryota; Metazoa; Arthropoda; Insecta; Hymenoptera; Braconidae. The transcript is spliced from 2 exons.
CUCCAAAAAUUAUUAUUAUUGUUUAAUGGUCGCCAUCGAGAUGGUCACGUGACCCUUUGGACUGCGUAAUUUCUCCAAUUACAACCAGCAUGGCGUUUUUAUUUUUAUGAAAGCCAAUGUUCAAGGUGUGAACACCAUAACUGCGCAUUACAAUUUUGACUUUAUUUUAACUUGGCUUUUAACGCGUUAUUUAGUCUCUAAUUAGAUCAUUCAGUCGGUCACGUGACCAGUAUGGUGGACCCCCCGCGAGUGGACUGUUGGCGAUGUCGCGUCAGAAAUUAAUUAUUCGUCUUAUCGGCUUUUUACGGGUGAUCGUGAGUCCAUAAAAUUAAUUUAUUAAACCAGUGAAACUCAUUUGGAUUCGAGUGAUUCAGUUCUACGAACUCAAAUCGAUAAAUUCCUGUCCUCGAACAAUGAAUAUCAUACGCGGGAAGGUAAACACUGGCGCGACGACACUGGAGUCUUCGGGAACAAAACAAAGGAAGGAACGGGAGUAGUGUCUAAAUGUAUGGCAAUUUCCUGAGGUCAAUCUUCACGGAAAUUGAUUUCGAGAAAAUGAGUCUUACCGUGGGGUAAAAAUUAAGAACAGGAAAUCCAUUUUUAUAAUAAUACUGGGUGCCUGCUUUGAGUGGACAUCCAGGUUUUCCAUCGGCAUCGAAAAUAUUUGGGCAUGCGUCAGUGCCAUCGACUCCAACGAAUGGCAGAGGUACUCCCAAUAGUGUUGCAUGGACAGAUGUGGUAAGUUUUUCAACAUUUUUCUCGGGAACAAAUUGUUGAACCAGUUCCAC